RNAcentral lists this ribosomal RNA (411 nucleotides) under Triticum aestivum (bread wheat). RNAcentral's name for it is "partial small subunit ribosomal RNA". The record is from RNAcentral. Lineage: Eukaryota; Viridiplantae; Streptophyta; Magnoliopsida; Poales; Poaceae.
AUGACCGCGAUGGGGCCACGGCCGAGCCUCGCCAUAUUCAACGCCAUGAUCCUAGGGUUAUGCCACAGGGCGCUCGUCCCUGUAUCUGCAGGAUUGCUUGGUAUCAUGUGGAGGUUCCAUCUAAUCCCUCAUGCGUGCAGCUAUAACAAGGGUCACUGCGUGUUUGGGCGGGCAGGGGAUGCUUUUGAGAUGUUUGACAAAAUGCACAAGUUAGGGUGCGAGCCGACUGUUGUGACGUAUAACAUUUUGGUGAACAUACGGUGCCGUGAUGGGAAUAUUGUUGAGGCAAGGAGGCUGUUCGAUGAGAUGGCGAUGGUGGGGGUCAAAGCAAAUGCAACCACCUUCAAUGUUUUAAUCGAUGGGUAUGCAAAGCCUGGAGAAUGGACGAGGCUGAUGCCGCCUGCAGAGAGA